GGAAACAGAGGGUGAGCAGGAUGUCCCCCACCGGGACACCGGAGGGAUCACAGGUGUCUCAGCAUUCCUCUCCCACCAUCCGAAAAAUCCCAGGAGAAAACAUGACUGAACAAUCUCCCAACCAGGUGUCUGUAAAAACAAGAGCUCGGGUGGACACAUAACUCAUCAGAGGAAGCCCGAAGUUCUUGGUGUCCAGCCUCUCUGCCCCAGAAUGCACAUGUCACAGGUUACCCCUUCGGGAAGAAUGCAAUGCCACAGCUACAGUACAGCAUCUUGAGCACCCAGAAAGGUGUCAUUAAAAUUAGUAUGUGCAGAAUGUAAGUACUUUCUACUCUAUGAAGAAAAGUCUUUGAGAGACAACUGUUUUAUUGACUCCUAGUUGAUCUUGGAAUUAUUCAGCAAUGCCAGGACUUUCUCUGCAGGUCAGCGAAGAGGGUUUGAAUUACCUUUUUAUAAAUUAUUAUUCAAAAAACUUACUUGUUGUCCACAUUUUCGCUUUGGACCUAAACUAGUUGGUGUCCAACUAAUAUCAGAAAUUCUAAGUCUCGUCUCAUUGCAACUAUGUUGAAUGAAUUCAUGUAAGUUAUUUUCCUCUUCUCCAA
Long non-coding RNA from Artibeus jamaicensis (Jamaican fruit-eating bat), 602 nucleotides. RefSeq lists it as uncharacterized. Lineage: Eukaryota; Metazoa; Chordata; Mammalia; Chiroptera; Phyllostomidae. The record is from RefSeq and is a predicted model, not a curated record. The transcript is spliced from 3 exons.